UAGCGACGCAGCUGCGCCAGCGGCAGCCCCAGGGCCUCGUCGGCGAACAGCACCCUCCGCGGGGCCACCGCCACCUCGACCGAGCCAGGACAUCAGGCCCACUCUGGGUGUUUCCAGAAGGACCUGAAACCAGUCUUGCAGAGGGUCGGAGUGGACGUUGGAUGACUAGGACCCUGGGCCACGCAGAGCGCUGGGGAACCGGGGGCUGGAAGUCUCGGCCAUGGCCGGUCAGGAGAAGCCCCUGGGGGCUGGUCUCUGAUGUUGACCAGUGGUUGAAGGGAGUGCCUGCUGAGGUGAGGAGAUGCAGCCGCCAAUUCUUGGACAACCUGAAAUCCUCCCAAGCUUCAAGCCUCCAGAGGAAUCUCCAAAUCCCAGAACCUCCCUGUCACCACAUCCUAGAAUUUAAAACCUGAGACAUUGGGUUUGGGGAAACCUGAGGGUUUCAAAGCCCAGCACCAAGGAAGGCAGGACCCCCCACUCGCCAGCUCUGUGAUCUUGGGCAAGCUGCUGGACUACUCUGUGCCUCCGUUUCCUCCAUCUGUAUAACGGCAAUACAGUAAUGACAAGAUGGAACUCAGAGA
Lemur catta (Ring-tailed lemur) is the source of this 581-nucleotide long non-coding RNA. RefSeq lists it as uncharacterized. The record is from RefSeq and is a predicted model, not a curated record. Lineage: Eukaryota; Metazoa; Chordata; Mammalia; Primates; Lemuridae. The transcript is spliced from 3 exons.